AAGUCCUUGUUUCAACAAUUUAUACGCUAAAACUAGGAUGAUGCAGAGAAGAUUAGCUUGGCCCUGCACAAAGAUGACACCCAAGUUAAUGAAGGAUUCCACAUGUCU
Molecule: small nuclear RNA, 108 nt
Organism: Cavia porcellus (domestic guinea pig)
Lineage: Eukaryota; Metazoa; Chordata; Mammalia; Rodentia; Caviidae
Source: Ensembl